ACAUUCCAAAAUUUUACUUCAAGCCACAGUAGCCUAA
RNAcentral lists this small nuclear RNA (37 nucleotides) under Brugia malayi. RNAcentral's name for it is "snRNA Bm16472". Lineage: Eukaryota; Metazoa; Nematoda; Chromadorea; Rhabditida; Onchocercidae. The record is from RNAcentral.